RNAcentral lists this long non-coding RNA (1119 nucleotides) under Ursus maritimus (polar bear). RNAcentral's name for it is "lncRNA (ENSUMAG00000022999.1)". Lineage: Eukaryota; Metazoa; Chordata; Mammalia; Carnivora; Ursidae. The record is from RNAcentral.
GAAGUCCCGAGGGGCCGUUACGAAACUUGCAAUCUGGGGGCGAUGGUCACGGUCACUAAGUAGAUCACCACACGAGGUCAGGGAGGGUGAGCGGCCAGGAAAGCCUCUCUCAGGAGGGGACAGUUCAGCCCAGACCUGGCUGAUGUGAGGGACAGGCCUGCCUCAGGGCCCUCGACCGUGGCGACUCACUGGAAUCACGGGGGCAGCUCCGAAAGUUUCUGAUCGCUGGGCCCCUCCCGGGGGCUCUGAUGGGACGGGGCUGGGGUGCCGUCUGGACAACGGGAUUUUAAAUUCUGCUCAGGUGAUCCUGAUGUGUAGCCAAAGGUGAGAACCCCUUGCCCUGCAGUUUUCCCAGGCGCCUGUCCACGUGAGUGGCACCUGGGUAAUUGGUCCGGCAUCCUGGGCUGGACCGCAACCCUCAGCAUUCGGAUUUGGGGGCUGGGGGAAGGCCCAGCACCAGACUUUCUCACAAGCAANNNNNNNNNNNNNNNNNNNNNNNNNNNNNNNNNNNNNGAUGUGCCUAGGAGACGAAGUCUGAGCUCCGAGCCUGGCAGUGAGAGCCCCCCACUACUGACCCCAGCCGUGCCCCCGCGGGACCACCUGCUGCUUCGGGACACGCUGACCCAUCUCUGGCCUCAGCCUGGGAGGCGCCUCCUUUCUCCCCGUCAGGUCCCGGCCAUACUCCUAGGCUUAUCAUGGAGCCUGAAGGGCCCCGCUGCUGUGGGCUUGGGAUCCGUUUCCUCACUCCCCUCGGCCCCUGGUCCAGAGCCCCUGUGCCAUUGUGCCCAUGCUUCCUGCCCGGCCAGACCCUGGGCUCUCGGGGGUAGGGCUGGCUUCUCCAGCCACAUGCCACCGAGCCUGGCAUCCCACAGGGUAUGCCUCGUCCUGGUUGAAGGAAUACCAAAUCUACCCAGCUCUGCUGGGCACAGCUGCCCCCACAACUGUGCCGAAGACAGCAGUGUUGGGACCCGCUCUGAGAGAUCCUUGCUCCAUCCCUCCUCCCAGGUCUCCUCCUCUGACUCCUCUUGUGGAGUCUCUCCUAUUGCACCUUUCGCCCUGCCCUAGCGGCCAGGCCCUGGGAUGGGAGGAAUGACACAGUUGUGUUCUCCGAAGCAGAGG